UGUGUGUUUACACAGGCCUGCCCUGCCUGUCAGUCAUUGUUUCAGUAUCUGUUUGUGUGCUCUCGUGUUCUCCUCGUGAUCCUUUUUGAAAGUUUUCUUAUUUUUUAUGUGUGUUGUGGAUUACUCCUCGACUUUAAUAAAAGGAGAUAUCAAUUCUUCUAGCUGCACUUACAGCCCUGACGGAAAAGAGGGAGCGUGAAGACGCCAAGAUGUCCAAGAAGAUGCCUACUUCCCCAUUUGACAGUAGUUCAGAUGAUGCUUCCAAUCAGGUUCCAUCAAAUAGCCAAGACUAUUUCAACAACAGACCUCCACAGCCAACAAGUAACCCUUACAGGCUGUACCCCAACAGACCUCAACAGCCAACAAGUAACCCUUACAGCCUGUUCACCAACAGACCUCCACAGCCAACAAGUAACCCUUACAGGCUGUACCCCAACAGACCAUCAGAGACAACAAGUAACCCUUACAGGCUGUACCCCAACAGACCUCCACAGACAACAAGUUACGAGUACAGCCAGUUCAACAAUCAGCAGGUCCAGAGCAGCAGUGCCUCCACAGAUGAUCCGAAUCAUGUCCGGCUCAUAAACCACCUUCAGUUCAACAGCAGACCCCAACAAACAACAAGUAAUGAUUACAGACAGUAUCACACAGUCCACACAGACACUGUAGUGAGGCACAACGCUCUCAGAGUCCAGGAAGGCGGUGUCAUAACACUAGAGGUGGGCAUAGAGAAUAGAGGCGAUAGGCGGAGCAACAGCUUUAGAUACUUCACCAACAGACGCGUUAAUCAUUAUCUAAUGGUGAUCCUAAUCAUUAAUUUUAAUAUUGUGCUUUUAGUAAUGUCACUCUUAUUUCAUGGCAGGAUAUAAAUUACUCUAUGAACAAACUGCCACCAGCAUUAGAUAAAAAUGUGCAAAACUGGAGAUGCCAGUUAACAGA
This is a long non-coding RNA of Haplochromis burtoni (Burton's mouthbrooder), 939 nucleotides long. RefSeq annotates it as sporozoite surface protein 2. Lineage: Eukaryota; Metazoa; Chordata; Actinopteri; Cichliformes; Cichlidae. The transcript is spliced from 3 exons. The record is from RefSeq and is a predicted model, not a curated record.